AUAACCCAUGACCUUAAAACAUAAUUGGGACCUCAUUCUCAUCCAUAACACACCAAAAAUAUUUUCUCAAAUCCCUAAGGCAAGAACAAGCUAGGGUUUCUAAUACUUGGCCAAUCAAAGCAUCUGGUAUUGAAAUCUCUCCAUAAUUCUUAAUAUUUCAGGCAUGAUACUCCACCCUUAAACUUGUUUUACUUAAAGUAUGAAACUAUAUGGUUGUACAUAU
This 223-nucleotide long non-coding RNA is filed under the name Capsicum annuum. RNAcentral describes it as "long non-coding RNA (CANN_LNC013718)". The record is from RNAcentral. Lineage: Eukaryota; Viridiplantae; Streptophyta; Magnoliopsida; Solanales; Solanaceae.